RNAcentral lists this transfer RNA (69 nucleotides) under Ictidomys tridecemlineatus (thirteen-lined ground squirrel). RNAcentral's name for it is "Spermophilus tridecemlineatus (thirteen-lined ground squirrel) tRNA". It matches the Rfam family "tRNA". From Rfam's summary of the family: Transfer RNA (tRNA) molecules are approximately 80 nucleotides in length. Their secondary structure includes four short double-helical elements and three loops (D, anti-codon, and T loops). Lineage: Eukaryota; Metazoa; Chordata; Mammalia; Rodentia; Sciuridae. The record is from Rfam by way of RNAcentral.
GGGGCUGUGGCUCAGCGGUAGAGUGCUUGCCUCGCAUGUGAGAAGCCCUGGGUUUGAUUCUCAGCCCUA